Musa acuminata AAA Group (dessert banana) is the source of this 1519-nucleotide long non-coding RNA. RefSeq lists it as uncharacterized. NCBI's taxonomy places the organism in Eukaryota, Viridiplantae, Streptophyta, Magnoliopsida, Zingiberales, Musaceae. The transcript has 2 exons. The record is from RefSeq and is a predicted model, not a curated record.
UCAGCUCUGAAACCCAGCUGUGGGUUUGGGCCCUCUGCUGCCUAAUUUAUUUUGUCUUUACUCCUCUACUCGCAUCCCAUCCUUCCUCCUUUAUUGCUAUUUAUCUUCCCCUUCCAAACACCACCAAGUACUCUCUCUCUCUCUCUCUCUCUCUAAGGUAAUCAUUUCACCUAUCAUCAGCGGUCUCUCUCUCUCUCUCUCUCACUCUCGGUUCUACCUCUCUAUAUCCAUGAAAGCCGAGAGUUCAGGGGGAGAAAGGAAAGGAGAAGAAGAAGAAGAAGAAGAAGAAGAAGAAGAAGAAGAAGAAGAAGAAAGAGGAAGCUUUUCCUUUGAGGGGAAUGUUGUCUGGCUCGAGGCACCUGUAACCGGAGAGCAAGAGAUGUUGCUUUCAUCUCUUGUUGUUCUCUUAGGGAUCUCGGACCAGGCUUCAUUCCCCCCAAUCGUAGCUUCCGAAACUCCACCACAGCAAACUGCAAAUGGUAGUCGCAGCUCAUCGUGAUCCACACGCGGGCUUUUGAUGUGUCGAUCUUCAUGUUUUUUGGAUCAUGGUCUUUUCCUCUUUGCUUCCUUGUUUCUAACUUGGGUUUUGUUUGUUCUCUGGUGAUCCACCGAGGCGGCAAGGAGAAGCAGAUUGGUGUAAUGAUGAGGGGUCUUGACCUACUCCUCCUCCUUUGUGUCUUGUGUUGACUUUAUUUCCUUUGUUCUCUGACAGGAGGAAGUCGAAAAGGGCUUCAUCAUUGCCUUGUCAUUGCCUUCGGAAAGAAUCAGAUACUAUCCUCAAAAAGAUUUAUGUGCAUCUUCAGAUACAGAAUCUGGAAAUAGACAUGUAGGUUUGUCCGUCGCAGACCGCCCGUGUAGAUCGAAGACUCUGCCUUGCUCUUUACCACCGUGUUUUGAUUUGCUUCACGUCUCACCAACAAUACUCGAUCUUCCAUCGACUAUUUUACUCAUCGAUGCACAAAGAGCUUUUCAGAAGAUACAGAUCUACAUAGGUGUUCUUGACCCACUGUUUCUUACAGACUAUUCGACGGAAUGUGAGCUCGUUUCUGCAGUCAUGGCUGGCUCUGAUGGGGAUGUGUGUAUAUGUUCCAUCGCUUUGUCUCGAUUGGCUUUGACAUAGCGAGCAUGAGUACCACAUAAUCUUAUCAGAUCUUGUGGUGCAAUGCAUGCUCCAAGCAUGCAAACAAGUUUUCUGGAGAUCUGUGAGCGAGGUGAGGUGGUAGCAUAAUCGAAACCGAGCUUUUCUGUCUCUUCAUGCACAAUAUAUGUUAGCGUACAUCCAUCGUCACAGUCUCUUUUUGGUGCCGAAUAGCACUAAUAUAGCUCAUAAAAGCAAGGUUGAUGAUGCCGGUUUCAGCUUCCAAAGCUUCGUAACAUGAAAUGUAAAGGAUCAAAAGAGGAACUCUGUGCAAUUUCCCGUAACACAAAGCAAUCUUGUAACCUCUUUUUUGGGACUAUUCUUGUACAUUAAUUCCAUGAUAGAAAGACAAUAAAAGCUAUUAAGGGCUGUGGGAGGACA